This 478-nucleotide ribosomal RNA is filed under the name uncultured bacterium. Its description in RNAcentral is "partial 16S ribosomal RNA". It matches the Rfam family "Bacterial small subunit ribosomal RNA", at positions 28 to 523 of the family's 1533-position model. The record is from RNAcentral.
GACGAACGCUGGCGGCGUGCUUAACACAUGCAGGUCGAACGGUAAGGCCCUUCGGGGUACACGAGUGGCGAACGGGUGAGUAACACGUGGGUGAUCUGCCCUGCACUUCGGGAUAAGCCUGGGAAACUGGGUCUAAUACCGGAUAGGACCCUGGGAUGCAUGUCCUGGGGUGGAAAGCUUUUGCGGUGUGGGAUGGGCCCGCGGCCUAUCAGCUUGUUGGUGGGGUGAUGGCCUACCAAGGCGACGACGGGUAGCCGGCCGGAGAGGGAGACGGGCCACACUGGGACUGAGAUACGGCCCAGACUCCUACGGGAGGCAGCAGUGGGGAAUAUUGCACAAUGGGCGCAAGCCUGAUGCAGCGACGCCGCGUGAGGGAUGACGGCCUUCGGGUUGUAAACCUCUUUCAGCACCGACGAAGCGCAAGUGACGGUAGGUGCAGAAGAAGGACCGGCCAACUACGUGCCAGCCGCCGCUGUAA